RNAcentral lists this ribosomal RNA (657 nucleotides) under uncultured bacterium. Its description in RNAcentral is "bacterial SSU rRNA". It matches the Rfam family "Bacterial small subunit ribosomal RNA", at positions 124 to 775 of the family's 1533-position model. The record is from RNAcentral.
AUAUGCCUUUUGGUGGGGGACAACAGUUGGAAACGACUGCUAAUACCGCAUGAUGUCUACGGACCAAAGUGGGGGACCUUCGGGCCUCACGCCAAAAGAUUAGCCCAAGUGGGAUUAGCUAGUUGGUGAGGUAAUGGCUCACCAAGGCGACGAUCCCUAGCUGGUUUGAGAGGAUGAUCAGCCACACUGGGACUGAGACACGGCCCAGACUCCUACGGGAGGCAGCAGUGGGGAAUAUUGCACAAUGGGCGCAAGCCUGAUGCAGCCAUGCCGCGUGUGUGAAGAAGGCCUUCGGGUUGUAAAGCACUUUUCAGUAAGGAGGAAAGGUUAAGUUUUAAUAGAGCUUAGCUGUGACGUUACUUACAGAAGAAGCACCGGCUAACUCCGUGCCAGCAGCCGCGGUAAUACGGAGGGUGCGAGCGUUAAUCGGAAUUACUGGGCGUAAAGCGUACGCAGGCGGUUUGUUAAGCGAGAUGUGAAAGCCCCGGGCUCAACCUGGGAACUGCACUUCGAACUGGCAAACUAGAGUGUGAUAGAGGGUGGUAGAAUUUCAGGUGUAGCGGUGAAAUGCGUAGAGAUCUGAAGGAAUACCGAUGGCGAAGGCAGCCACCUGGGUCAACACUGACGCUCAUGUACGAAAGCGUGGGGAGCAAACAG